UUUCCGUAGGUGAACCUGCGGAAGGAUCAUUAUUGAAUGAACUUGGCAUGAUUGUAGCUGGUCCUUUCGAGGGCAUGUGCACAUCUGUCAUCUUUAUCUUUCCACCUGUGCACCAAUUGUAGGUCUAAAAAAUUUUCCCCGAGACACUCGGGGGAGCAUGGGGCGUUGCUGUGUGUUACCACCAGCUUGCCCUGCAUUUUCUAGAUCUAUGUUUUCACAUACACCAUAAAAUGUAAUAGAAUGUUAUUAUUGGGCUUUUAUUGCCUAUAAACUAUAUACAACUUUCAGCAACGGAUCUCUUGGCUCUC
This 308-nucleotide unclassified non-coding RNA is filed under the name plant metagenome. RNAcentral describes it as "partial contains small subunit ribosomal RNA, internal transcribed spacer 1, and 5.8S ribosomal RNA". The record is from RNAcentral.